This 543-nucleotide ribosomal RNA is filed under the name Stumpffia grandis (giant stump-toed frog). RNAcentral describes it as "partial 16S ribosomal RNA". The stretch from base 1 to 111 matches the Rfam family "Bacterial large subunit ribosomal RNA", at positions 719 to 852 of the family's 2925-position model. The record is from RNAcentral. Lineage: Eukaryota; Metazoa; Chordata; Amphibia; Anura; Microhylidae.
AACUAGGCGAGCUACUCUAAAACAGCCACAGAGCUAACCCAUCUCUGUUACAAAAGAGUGGGACGAUUUUAAAGUAGAGGUGAUACACCUAUCGAGCUCAGAAAUAGCUGGUUAUUCAAAAGACGGAUCUAAGUCCUACUUUAAGCCACCCCCAGUAACACCAAACACCCAUAAACUUAAAAGUCACUCAAAUAAGGUACAGCCUAUUUGAACAAGGAAACAACCUACAACACAGGGUAAUGAUAACACGUAUGAUCAAGUAGGCCUUAAAGCAGCCAACUUUCAAAAAGCGUCUAAGCAUCAUCACAACACAUUCCACAAUUUCUUAAUUUACCCAAAACCCACAAUCACCACUGAAUGAUCCCAUACUUGUAUGGUAAACAUUAUGCUAGAACUAGUAACAAGAAGAUGAACUUCUCCAAAAUGCAAGCGUAAGCCAAAAUGAACCCAUCACCGGCAAUUACCGCCACCCACAGUACCAACCCUACAAGAAAACUCUACUAUACCAAGCGCCAACCUUACACUAGAACAUUACCGGAAAGA